This 500-nucleotide ribosomal RNA is filed under the name uncultured archaeon. RNAcentral's name for it is "bacterial SSU rRNA". It matches the Rfam family "Archaeal small subunit ribosomal RNA", at positions 27 to 531 of the family's 1478-position model. The record is from RNAcentral.
CUGCUAUCGGGGUUCGACUAAGCCAUGCGAGUCGAGAGGUGAAAGACCUCGGCGAACUGCUCAGUAACACGUGGAUAACCUGCCCUGAGGAGGGGGAUAACUCCGGGAAACUGGGGAUAAUACCCCAUAGGCUACCGAAGCUGGAAUGCUCGGUAGCCCAAAGCUCCGGCGCCUCAGGAUGGGUCUGCGGCCGAUUAGGUUGUUGUUGGGGUAACGGCCCAACAAGCCUGUAAUCGGUACGGGUUGUGAGAGCAAGAGCCCGGAGAUGGAUUCUGAGACAUGAAUCCAGGCCCUACGGGGCGCAGCAGGCGCGAAAACUUUACAAUGCGAGCAAUCGUGAUAAGGGGACCCCGAGUGCCAGGUUACAAAUCUGGCUGUCGAGAUGCCUAAAAAGCAUUUCAAAGCAAGGGCCGGGCAAGACCGGCGCCAGCCGCCGCGGUAACACCGGCGGCUCGAGUGGUAACCGCUAUUAUUUGGUCUAAAGGGUCUGUAGCCGGCCG